Frankliniella occidentalis (western flower thrips) is the source of this 956-nucleotide long non-coding RNA. RefSeq lists it as uncharacterized. Lineage: Eukaryota; Metazoa; Arthropoda; Insecta; Thysanoptera; Thripidae. The transcript has 2 exons. The record is from RefSeq and is a predicted model, not a curated record.
CCCCCCCCCCUCCUUUAACUGAAGCAGCAGCCGACACUCACCCGCCGCUCCCUCGGCCGGCGUAGGAGGAAGACAGGGAGGAAGAAGCGAGUUUUAGCGCGUCGGCAAGGUGCAUGCGAGAGCAGCGAGUCAGUCUCUCUGUGUCAGUCACCAGAAGCACAUCCGGGCCUUCGGGCGCUGCUCACAUGAGUCUCUCCUCUCCACGUCCAAACACCCGAAAGGGUGUUUGGUUUAGGCGUGAGCCUUCAGAGCAGCACUGUCCUACCCCCGACAUGUUGGGCUAGGUCACGUCGUUUUGCCUGCCUGCCGCCAUGCCUGCCUCCGCGGUCACGAUGUUGAUCAUCAGCACCAAGAGCAAGCUAGUCGCACUUGCGCCUCCUCGCGCUCCGCCCUGGACGUGGUCGUGUCGGUGUGGUGUCAACUGACUGAGUGUGUGUGUAUGUGUGUGAGAAUGAAUUCUGAUCUAUUUCCUUGCCUAGACUCAGUUCUAGUUUUCAUUGUUUAAUUGUGUACCUUGCAGUUUCUUUUCCUAAAUUAUACCCCGUCUGUAUGAGGUUACUUUCAGGAGCUUGAUUGUUGUUUUGUUAAUGCUGUGAGACGUUAAUUGUUUAACCUCAGCAAAUACGUAACUCUGCUUGUAUAGAGAUGUGCAACUAAAGCUUGGCUAUUAUGUACUGUCCCCGUUUAUCUCUGAGAUGCACUUAGUGAUUUGUUAUUGUUAUAACUAAAGAUUACGUUGCUUCGCUUGUAUGAAGGUUGUUGUGCUAUAACUCUGUAAACGUUCAACAUAGGUUUGUCGCAGUUGCGCAUUUAUGCCUGUUGGUUGGUGGCUUGUACUAGUCUUUGUCCUGUUAGGAAUUUAUUGUUGUACUGCAAGGUUAAAUUGUACUUAUUGUCACAUUGUUUAAAAUGUUUUGUUUUGUUAAUUAAUAAUAAAACUAUUAUUCUGCACUGUA